CGCUGGCGGCGUGCUUAAAACAUGCAAGUCGAACGGAGUUUAUGAGUAGCUUGCUACAAGUAAACUUAGUGGCGGACGGGUGAGUAACACGUGAGCAACCUGCCUAUCGACAGGGGGAUAACACUUAGAAAUAGGUGCUAAUACCGCAUAUGACCACAGACCAGCAUCGGUCAGAGGUGAAAGGAGUUAAAUCUGGUGAUAGAGGGGCUUGCGUAUCAUUAGCUAGUUGGUGAGGGUAACGGCCCACCAAGGCCACGAUGAUUAGCCGAUCUGAGAGGAUGACCGGCCACAUUGGAACUGAGAUACGGUCCAGACUCCUACGGGAGGCAGCAGUUAGGAAUAUUGGGCAAUGGAGGAAACUCUGACCCAGCAACGCCGCGUGAAGGAUGAAGGUUUUCGGAUUGUAAACUUCUGAUCAGUGGAAAGAAAAAAUGACGGUACCACAGGAGCAAGCCCCGGCUAACUACGUGCCAGCCGCGGC
Molecule: ribosomal RNA, 481 nt
Filed under: uncultured bacterium
Lineage: Bacteria
Description: bacterial SSU rRNA
Rfam family: Bacterial small subunit ribosomal RNA
Source: RNAcentral